This 208-nucleotide ribosomal RNA is filed under the name uncultured bacterium. RNAcentral's name for it is "partial 16S ribosomal RNA". It matches the Rfam family "Bacterial small subunit ribosomal RNA", at positions 568 to 775 of the family's 1533-position model. The record is from RNAcentral.
UGCGCAGGCGGUUUUGUAAGUCUGACGUGAAAUCCCCGGGCUCAACCUGGGAAUUGCGUUGGAGACUGCAAGGCUGGAGUCUGGCAGAGGGGGGUAGAAUUCCACGUGUAGCAGUGAAAUGCGUAGAGAUGUGGAGGAACACCGAUGGCGAAGGCAGCCCCCUGGGUCAAGACUGACGCUCAUGCACGAAAGCGUGGGGAGCAAACGA